UUGAACGCUGGCGGCAUGCCUUACACAUGCAAGUCGCACGGUAACAGGUCUUCGGAUGCUGACGAGUGGCGAACGGGUGAGUAAUACAUCGGAACGUGCCCAGACGUGGGGGAUAACGAGGCGAAAGCUUUGCUAAUACCGCAUACGAUCUAAGGAUGAAAGCAGGGGACCGCAAGGCCUUGCGCGUUUGGAGCGGCCGAUGGCAGAUUAGGUAGUUGGUGGGAUAAAAGCUUACCAAGCCGACGAUCUGUAGCUGGUCUGAGAGGACGACCAGCCACACUGGGACUGAGACACGGCCCAGACUCCUACGGGAGGCAGCAGUGGGGAAUUUUGGACAAUGGGCGAAAGCCUGAUCCAGCAAUGCCGCGUGCAGGAUGAAGGCCUUCGGGUUGUAAACUGCUUUUGUACGGAACGAAAAGGCUCUGGCUAAUACCUGGGGCACAUGACGGUACCGUAAGAAUAAGCACCGGCUAACUACGUG
RNAcentral lists this ribosomal RNA (481 nucleotides) under uncultured bacterium. Its description in RNAcentral is "partial 16S ribosomal RNA". It matches the Rfam family "Bacterial small subunit ribosomal RNA", at positions 30 to 507 of the family's 1533-position model. The record is from RNAcentral.